CUACGGGGGGCAGCAGUUAGGCAUAAUCUACAAUGCACGCAAGUGUGAUAGUUUGAGCCAGAGUGCUAUUCAAUGAAUAGCUUUUGCUAAAUGUAAAAAGUUUGGCGAAUAAGGACUGGGUAAGACGAGUGCCAGCCGCCGCGGUAAUACUCGCGGUCCAAGUCGCAGCCAUUUUUAUUGGGUCUAAAACAUCCGUAGCUUGUUCAGUAAGUUUCUUGUGAAAUCCUACAUCUUAAGUGUGGGGCGGGCAAGAAGUACUGCUGGGCUAGAGACUGGGAGACGUAAUGAGUACAUUCAAAGUAGCGGUAAAAUGUUUUAAUCUUGAAUGGACUUACAAUAGCGAAGGCACGUUACGAGAACAGUUCUGACAGUAAGGGAUGAAGGCUAGGGGCGCAAAACGGAUUAGAUACCCCAGUAGUC
This 420-nucleotide ribosomal RNA is filed under the name uncultured archaeon. Its description in RNAcentral is "partial 16S ribosomal RNA". It matches the Rfam family "Archaeal small subunit ribosomal RNA", at positions 323 to 746 of the family's 1478-position model. The record is from RNAcentral.